RNAcentral lists this long non-coding RNA (240 nucleotides) under Mustela putorius furo (domestic ferret). Its description in RNAcentral is "lncRNA (ENSMPUG00000024784.1)". The record is from RNAcentral. Lineage: Eukaryota; Metazoa; Chordata; Mammalia; Carnivora; Mustelidae.
CGGCUCACAGUUGUAUCCAGCGAAGGCUGAGUCUUCUCCGUGCUGUGUCUGUCUCUGCUUGCGCUGAGAAGAGUGAAGAGAGGGCCUGUCUGCAUUUGUGCGGAACCCCCAUGCCUGCCAGAUCACAGGGCUCAUGUAAAUUUAAUCCUUAGCCCAGCUGGAAGAGCUUCAGGGUAGAGGAGGAAUUUUUCCCUUCAGCUGGCAAGGCCCUGGUCCGCUCAGCCCAGUGCCGGAGGCAAG